GAUGAAGAACGUAGCAAAAUGCGAUAAGUAAUGUGAAUUGCAGAAUUCAGUGAAUCAUCGAAUCUUUGAACGCACAUUGCGCCCGCUGGUAUUCCGGCGGGCAUGCCUGUUCGAGCGUCAUUUCAACCCUCAAGCCCCCGGGUUUGGUGUUGGGGAUCGGCUCUGCCCUUCUGGGCGGUGCCGCCCCCGAAAUACAUUGGCGGUCUCGCUGCAGCCUCCAUUGCGUAGCAGCUAACACCUCGCAACUGGAACGCGGCGCGGCCAUGCCGUAAAACCCCAACUUCUGAAUGCUGACCUCGGAUCAGGUAGGAAUACCCGCUGAACUUAAGCAUAUCAAUAAGCGGAGGA
This 348-nucleotide unclassified non-coding RNA is filed under the name soil metagenome. RNAcentral describes it as "partial contains 5.8S ribosomal RNA, internal transcribed spacer 2, and large subunit ribosomal RNA". The stretch from base 1 to 120 matches the Rfam family "5.8S ribosomal RNA", at positions 35 to 154 of the family's 154-position model. The record is from RNAcentral.